Molecule: long non-coding RNA, 1142 nt
Organism: Carassius gibelio (silver crucian carp)
Lineage: Eukaryota; Metazoa; Chordata; Actinopteri; Cypriniformes; Cyprinidae
Exons: 3
Source: RefSeq, a predicted model, not a curated record
UAUGGAAAUAAGACCUCUGAGGCUCAAAGCGCAGCGUUAUUUCAUCACUUCCCGUGUAUCGACACCCUUAACUUUACCUUAAAGUGACCUUGCAAAUAAUUUACUCUUGUUUACACUGCAGAUGGAGCGGAAGGUUCAAUGAGGAGACAUUUGUUUACCGGCUUCCUUCCGGAAAGCUCGUACAAAUGCAGCAUUGUAUCUUUGUUUGAAACGUGAGGAAAUGAUGACAGAAGCAUGGAUGCAGGGAUUUUGGUCCGAUUAAGACAUGAGAGCAUAACUAAGAUUCCAGUUCUUCCCAAAAGUGUCCGUGUCUGGGUUUUGUAUCUCAGGUAUUCUGAUUUCUUUGAGCCCUUCCUCUGCCUUUGAGGCACCUUGGCCACAGACGGGUUCAUGUCCACAAGAUGGGGAUAUUGACCAAAAUACAGGCUGAUUUUUAGUGGCCUGACUUGAUGGAAAAUGAUAUGCCUUCAGGUCCUCUUGGGAAGUUCUUCCCUACAUGUUUGAAAGUCACAAUUACAAAACCAUGUUCCUUUCGAUUGCCGUAAAAUACAUUUUUAACCUUAAGUCUCAACAAAGACAAAAAGCUUUUUUAAUAAAACAAUUAAUAAAAAAAAUGAAGAGAGAAUAAUGGGAAAUUUAAUUUUGUCAUGCAAGCUGUUCAUGAGUAUUUUCUGGCAAGCUUUAUGAUAUCCUUCAUCAAAAAAAAGAAAAAAAAGAAAAAUGCAUGCAUGCACACGCGAGUAAAUCAUCACAAUGGGUAUAUUUGUUAAUAUGACUGAAAAAGAUAAUAUUGAGACUUAUUAUGAAUUGUGACUUGUCACAACACAUAUUGUUGCUCUUAUGUUGUUUUGAUUUCUUCUAUUAACCUCAUUUGUACGUCUAAUCUGCUAAAUGAUUAAAUGUAAAUGCAAAUUAAUUUGAUAAAAUAAAAUGUUCAGACUAUCACUGGUGCGCAGGAAAAAAAAAAGAAUUAAUCAUUUAGUCUUGUUUUCCAGUAAAAUUGUCUAAUCAACAAAACUGAGAUGAACUUUUCUGUCUUCAAGGCAAACAAUUUUGGCAUUUUGUUUUAAUCAAGCACCAUAAAUUUGUAAAAAAAAAAAAAAAAAAUGUAGUACGAUAAAGUUAGAAAACAAAAAUUGUGU